This is a long non-coding RNA of Astyanax mexicanus (Mexican tetra), 398 nucleotides long. RefSeq lists it as uncharacterized. NCBI's taxonomy places the organism in Eukaryota, Metazoa, Chordata, Actinopteri, Characiformes, Acestrorhamphidae. The record is from RefSeq and is a predicted model, not a curated record. The transcript is spliced from 5 exons.
UAAACAUUAGAAACUAGUCUAUGGUCCACUUGAUUCCUAGAUUGCUUCCAAAAUUAGUUCAUCAAAUCUAGGGGUGGACGAUAUGGCCCUAAAAACAAUAUCACGAUAUUUCCGGGUAUUUUUACAACAGUGCAGGUGCAGGUGAAUUAUGGGAGUUGUAGUGAGGUCUGAUAAUAGUGGGUGCAGGUGAAUUAUGGGAGUUGUAGUGAGGUCUGAUAAUAGUGGGUGCAGGUGAAUUAUGGGAGUUGUAGUGAGGGCUGAUAAUAGUGGGUGCAGGUGAAUUAUGGGAGUUGUAGUGAGGGCUGAUAAUAGUGGGUGCAGGUGAAUUAUGGGAGUUGUAGUGAGGGUCUGAUAAUAGUGGGUGCAGGUGAAUUAUGGGAGUUGUAGUGAGGGCUGAU